ACUGCCGUGAUGAUAAUGGACUGAACCUCUGAACCUCAACUUGAGGGAAAAAGGAUCUAUUUGACUUACAGGUUACAGAGUCUAUCACUGAGCAAAGUCCAGGCAGGAACCUGGAGGCAGGAACUGAAGCAGAGACUACGAAGAGAUGUUUUUUACUGACUUGCUCAGCUAUCCAGCCGAGGCCAACCUACCUGAGGAUUGGUACCACCCAUGACAGGAAGAAAAUGCCCUCAUAGACACGUCCACACGUCCCUGCGAAGAGGGAAUCUCAGUUGAGGAUUUACCUUCAUCCGAUUGGCUCAGUUUACCCUGGACUCUCCCAGGUGUCUCUGUCUCCGGCUAUGCUCUUCCUCAUAUCUAUAAUAAAAAUCUCUGUACUUUAGGAGGAGUCCUGUCCUCCUUCCUCUUUA
This is a long non-coding RNA of Mus musculus (house mouse), 410 nucleotides long. RefSeq annotates it as predicted gene, 40740. The record is from RefSeq and is a predicted model, not a curated record. NCBI's taxonomy places the organism in Eukaryota, Metazoa, Chordata, Mammalia, Rodentia, Muridae. The transcript has 2 exons.